CCUACGGGAGGCAGCAGUGGGGGAUAUUGCACAAUGGGGGAAACCCUGAUGCAGCGACGCCGCGUGGGUGAAGAAGCGCCUCGGCGCGUAAAGCCCUGUCAGCAGGGAAGAAAAUGACGGUACCUGAAGAAGAAGCCCCGGCUAACUACGUGCCAGCAGCCGCGGUAAUACGUAGGGGGCAAGCGUUAUCCGGAUUUACUGGGUGUAAAGGGGGCGCAGACGGCGAUGCAAGCCAGGAGUGAAAGCCCGUGGCCCAACCCCGUGACUGCUCUUGGAACUGCGUGGCUAUAGUGCAGGAGGGGCAG
This 305-nucleotide ribosomal RNA is filed under the name uncultured bacterium. Its description in RNAcentral is "bacterial SSU rRNA". It matches the Rfam family "Bacterial small subunit ribosomal RNA", at positions 338 to 660 of the family's 1533-position model. The record is from RNAcentral.